Molecule: long non-coding RNA, 638 nt
Filed under: Gossypium barbadense (sea-island cotton)
Lineage: Eukaryota; Viridiplantae; Streptophyta; Magnoliopsida; Malvales; Malvaceae
Description: long non-coding RNA (GBAR_LNC004853)
Source: RNAcentral
AAAGACGUUGGCAACUAGAAAUGGCAGCACAAGGGUUGAUGUUCAUGACAAGUUACCACCUCGAAAGGACUUGGAAGAUGUAAAACCAGUGAUAAGCCUGAGAAAAGGCAUGAUUAAGGUAGACAAACGACAAAGUGACUCUGCCCAACUAAAUCAUAAUUCUGGAAGUAGAAAAGAAAUUCAGGAGAGAAACCAUGAUAGCAUAAAGCACAGGGAGCAGAAGUACACUGAAAGAAGUGAAAUCAAGGGACCAGUUUUCAAGGAUGAGAUGCAACAGAUGAUACCAUAUAUGCAUAAAAGAUCAGAAUCUACACUUACAUUGCUAGAAAAGCCAGAGUACGGUGAAAGCAUGCUUCAUGGGGAAAAUAGUUCUGCUAACAAGCUUCGUCUAGGCAAUCAACAAAAGCUGCAAAAUAAUCAUGGAUUUCAACAGGUGCACAUGCUCCAGAAAUCUGAGCCUCAAGAGAAAAAGCGUCAACCAGAAGAAAGAGAACAAGAAAAACAGAAAUUGCAGGAGAAGAAACAAAAGAGACCUGAAUCAGUAUCUAGCAAUAUCUCCAAACUAAUGUCUGGUGCAACCGAUUUGCAAAAGAAGCAGCUGCAACUGAACCAAGCAGCAACUAGUAGGAAAGGCUCCA